GUGAUGACCAGUGUGGAUGGGAAAUGGAGAAUAGCAGAAUGCAGACACAUAGGAGUGAGACAGGUGGCAGCACAGGAGAGAGUGGAACCCACCUGACAGAGUGACACCUCCAGCUGCCCAAACUCAUGAUCAACAUUGACUUUGCAUAAGGGAAUCAAGCUUCAGACAGAUUAGUGUGUUGUUACUCUAUUAAGCAAGUUGAGAACACCUCCCCAAACUUUCUGCUCAGAGAGAAAGAAGGUGGACUGCAGAACACCUGAGCCAAGGCCAGAAUUUUUCUUCAAGAAACAUCUUUGCCUCCAUUCCAGGACCUGGGUGAGGCCUCUGAAGAAACACAUAAAUCUGCAGAAUUGCAUGGGACUCAUCUUCCUGGCACUGGUGCCUGGGCAGAGCUGACGUACCUAAGCUCGACCUGGAAAUUUUUCAGAGCAGAAGUGGAAUCACUACUGAAAGAACAUGCCAGUGUUUAAUUUUAAUGACUAUUACCAGCUUGUCUCCCAGAGAGCACAGCCAUUCACUAUCCCACUACCACUAUGGCUGGAUGCCUGUUUCUCCACUCUAUGACCAAUCAAGUGUGUUAUCAAACUUGUCUCUGCUAAUUUGGAAGUGCAAUAGCCACUAUCUCCAGAGCAAUGGAAAAUAAGCAUGAUGACCUUCAUGGGAAGGAGGUUGGUGUUUCCUAUGAAGCAUGAUUUCGGCUCUUGGGUUGAUAUAUAAGGGUAUUUGCCAUGUUUAAGAGGAAGGAACCUCAAUGUAAUUUCUAAGUGGGAAAGGAGGAAUCCAGAAGAUAAAAGCAGGCACGCAGUGAGAGAGAGAGAAAGAGGCAGAGACACAGGCAGAAGGAGAAGCAGGCUCCAUGCACCAGGAGCCCGACGUGGGACUCGAUCCCAGGUCUCCAGGAUCACGCCCUGGGCCAACGGCAGGCGCCAAACCGCUGCACCACCCAGGGAUCCUGCUGGCUCCUAUUCUAAAGAACUUUUCAUUAGUUGUGGCUUAGGAAUUGCAUGUUAAAUAAGCUUUCCAGAUAAUUCUGAUAACAGAUCACAUGUAUUAAGUAUUUGUUGCUGCAAAACAAAUCACCCAAACUUAGCGAUUUAAAACUACACCCAUUGGGGUGUCUAGGUGGCUCAGACGGUUAAGCAUCUGACUCUUGAUUCUGGCUCAGGUCAUGAUCUCGGGGUCAUCAGAUGGAGCUCUGCUUCUGAGCACUGACUGUGGCACCUGCUUAAGAUGGUCUCUCUCCCUUUUGUCCACCCCCUAACCCCCCGACCCUGU
This is a long non-coding RNA of Canis lupus familiaris (dog), 1275 nucleotides long. RefSeq lists it as uncharacterized. Lineage: Eukaryota; Metazoa; Chordata; Mammalia; Carnivora; Canidae. The transcript is spliced from 6 exons. The record is from RefSeq and is a predicted model, not a curated record.